Molecule: ribosomal RNA, 242 nt
Filed under: uncultured bacterium
Lineage: Bacteria
Description: partial 16S ribosomal RNA
Rfam family: Bacterial small subunit ribosomal RNA
Source: RNAcentral
UGGCGAGUGGCGAACGGGUGAGUAACAUAUCGGAACGUACCAAGUAGUGGGGGAUAACUGUCCGAAAGGAUGGCUAAUACCGCAUACGAUCUUAGGAUGAAAGUGGGGGACCUUAGGGCCUCACGCUAUUUGAGCGGCCGAUAACUGAUUAGCUAGUUGGUGGGGUAAAGGCCUACCAAGGCAACGAUCAGUAGCGGGUCUGAGAGGAUGAUCCGCCACAUUGGGACUGAGACACGGCCCAA